RNAcentral lists this ribosomal RNA (481 nucleotides) under uncultured bacterium. Its description in RNAcentral is "partial 16S ribosomal RNA". It matches the Rfam family "Bacterial small subunit ribosomal RNA", at positions 28 to 507 of the family's 1533-position model. The record is from RNAcentral.
GACGAACGUUGGCGGCGUGCUUAAUACAUGCAAGUCAACUGAAUCAGUGGUAGCAAUAUCGCUGUGGAGGUGGCGCACGGGUGAGUAACACGUAGGUAAUCUGCCUUCAGGUCUGGCAUAACUCCGGGAAACCGGGACUAAUAGCAGAUGAUGCAGCGGCUCGACAUCGAGACAGUUGUUAAAGCUAUGGCGCCUGAAGAUGAGCCUGCGUCUGAUUAGCUAGUUGGCGGGGUAACGGCCCACCAAGGCAACGAUCAGUAGCUGGUCUGAGAGGAUGAUCAGCCAGACUGGAACUGAGACACGGUCCAGAAUCCUACGGGAGGCAGCAGGAAGGAAUAUUGCUCAAUGGGAGAAAUCCUGAAGCAGCAACGGCGCGUGAGGGACGAAGGGCUUUUGCUUGUAAACCUCUGUAGUGAGAGAAAAAAAUCCCAAUCUGUGGGACAUGAUGGUAUCUCAAAAGUAAGCCCCGGCUAACUACGUG